UACUCUUUCUUCUCUUCAAAACGCAUAAAUCUUUUGCCUUUUACUAAAGAUUUCCGUGGAGUGGAGUAACAGACGAACUGAAGGCAAUUUUUGCGGGCUCCCCAGGUGGUGGAGCC
Tachyglossus aculeatus (Australian echidna) is the source of this 116-nucleotide small nuclear RNA. RefSeq annotates it as U5 spliceosomal RNA. NCBI's taxonomy places the organism in Eukaryota, Metazoa, Chordata, Mammalia, Monotremata, Tachyglossidae. The transcript has a single exon. The record is from RefSeq and is a predicted model, not a curated record.